This 76-nucleotide transfer RNA is filed under the name bacterium. RNAcentral's name for it is "tRNA-Ala". It matches the Rfam family "tRNA". From Rfam's summary of the family: Transfer RNA (tRNA) molecules are approximately 80 nucleotides in length. Their secondary structure includes four short double-helical elements and three loops (D, anti-codon, and T loops). The record is from RNAcentral.
GGGGAUGUAGCUCAGCUGGGAGAGCGCUUCGUUCGCAAUGAAGAGGCCGUGGGUUCGAGUCCCAUCUUCUCCACCA